CUGUGUGUCGUCUGAGCAGUCGCGAGAAGAUUUCCCUCCAGGACUUGUCCAAGGAGCGCCGGCCUGGUGGGGCUGGGGGUCCCCCCAUCCAGGACGAGGAUGAGGGGGAAGAAGGUCCCACCGGUGAGGGGCCUGAAUCUGGACUCCUGGGUCUGAGGGAGGAGGGGUCGGGUUCUCUGAAUCUAGAGGCAACUGGCAUCUUCUGUGACCUGCCCGGUGUUCCCACAUCACAGAACCACCCCCUGCAGAACCCAGAACCCUCAAUGGCGUCUCCUCCCCCCCGCACCCCAGCCCUAAGAGUCCCGUGCUGCCUGAAGAGGCCCCCUUCUCCAGGCGCUUUGGCCUCCUGAAGACAGGGAGUUCUGGUGCCCUGGGUCCCCCGGAAAGGCGGACAGCGGGGGGAGCCCCAGGGGCUGGGCUGCAGCGCUCGGCUUCCUCCUCCUGGCUGGAAGGGACCUCCACUCAGGUGAGUGAGGGUUGGGCCGG
This 486-nucleotide long non-coding RNA is filed under the name Pan troglodytes (chimpanzee). RNAcentral's name for it is "long non-coding RNA NONPTRT008628". The record is from RNAcentral. Lineage: Eukaryota; Metazoa; Chordata; Mammalia; Primates; Hominidae.